This is a long non-coding RNA of Odocoileus virginianus texanus, 468 nucleotides long. RefSeq lists it as uncharacterized. NCBI's taxonomy places the organism in Eukaryota, Metazoa, Chordata, Mammalia, Artiodactyla, Cervidae. The record is from RefSeq and is a predicted model, not a curated record.
UCUGACAUGACUGAGUGACUUUCACUUUUCAAAGGCUAACCAUUAGUAAUGAGAAACAUCAGAUGUUGAACGAAAUGAGUUUCAUAUGGAACCAAUCUUAAGCCACACAAUGAGCCUGAUAUUUAGAAUCUCUCUUUUUGUCUCUCACAGAAUGGAAGUAACAGCUGAUAAGAAAGAUGAACAGUACUGACAUAUGAUUUACUGACCUAUCCAUUCCAGAAAACAAAUUCUAAGAGCUCAUUACCAGCCAAGUAAGACAGGAUUCAAGUAAUUGUUUGCCCUGAAAUUAGAUAUAGCCUGAGACAUUCUUCUGUGUCUUCCUACAUUCAGGAGAAAAACAAAUUUCACUCAGCCAAGCCAGUGUUCCUUAUCAUUUAUGUUCUAGAUAACACUUGAAGGCAAUGUGUGCUGCUGCUGCUGCUAAGUUGCUUCAGUCAUGUCCGACUCCAUGCGACCCCAUAGACAGCA